AUGCACUUUGAAUUAAGCAAGCAUUUAUAUUUACUUUUUGUUUACAUCUGUGGUAUUUUUUUUGUGUCUUUGGUCUUCUGUGCAGCGUUCAUCACCUGCCCCUGUUACUGCUACAUCAUCCUCAUCCUCACCUGUGAGGAAAAGUUCAUCACCUGCCCCUGUUACUGCUACAUCAUUCUCAUCCUCAUCUGUGAGGAAAAGUUCAUCACCUGCCCCUGUUACUGCUACAUCAUUCUCAUCCUCACCUGUGAGGAAAAGUUCAUCACCUGCCCCUGUUACUGCUACAUCAUCCUCAUCCUCACCUGUGAGGCAGCGUUCAUCAUCUGCCCCUGUGACUGCUACAUCAUCCUCAUCCUCACCUGUGAGGAAACGUUCAUCACCUGCCCCUGUGACUGCUACAUCAUCCUCAUCCUCACCUGUGAGGAAACGUUCAUCACCUGCCCCUGUGACUGCUACAUCAUCCUCAUCCUCACCUGUGAGGAAACGUUCAUCACCUGCCCCUGUGACUGCUACAUCAUCCUCAUCCUCACCUGUGAGGCAGCGUUCAUCACCUGCCCCUGUGACUGCUACAUCAUCCUCAUCCUCACCUGUGAGGCAGCAUUCAUCAUCUGCCCCUGUGACUGCUACAUCAUCCUCAUCCUCACCUGUGCGGAAAAGUUCAUCACCUGCUCCUGUGACUGCUACAUCAUCCUCAUCCUCACCUGUGAGGAAAAGUUCAUCACCUGCCCCUGUGACUGCUACAUCAUCCUCAUCCUCACCUGUGAGGCAGCGUUCAUCAAGAAAAAGACAGCAGGAGAGGUUUCAGUCAAGAUUGGUCAAACUACGGGAACAUCAUAACAAUUGCUCCAAGCGCUUCAAUAGAGCAGAAGUUGAAAAAACCAACAGAACAAAAAAGACUGCCAUACUUGAGGAUUGCGUUGUGAGUAAUGUGUAAACAUGAUCAUCACAUUACUUUAACACCUCAGUGUAUUUAAAGGGGUCAUAUUCUGCGUUUUCACUUUUGCAGCUCUAGGUUUUCGUCGGUCGAGAGGGAGCUGCUGUUGUAGUGGAGUAUUGUUGUCAUUGCCCCCCCCCAAAACAAAAGAAAGGAAAACUGCUCUUGACUGAAUCACUUAUUAACUUAAAUAAGAAUCAUCUAUAUUUAAUGUAUAGAGUGAAGAUUAUUUUUACAUUAAUUACUUCAUAAAAAUAUCUGUAGUAGGCUAUUUUUAACCUUUACUUGGCUACUAUCUAAAAGAAAACUAUUUAAUUUGUAUUUGUGAGUAAUAUAUUCAUAUAUCAUUUAGCUUGUAAGUAAUACUUAGUGUUUAAUUGCCUUCAGUAAGCCUGACAGUGUUUUAUUACUAUUUUUUGCUUUUGUGUUAGUGGCAGUUUCUUACUUAAAAAAAAAAAAAAAAAUUAAUAAAAAUUAUUUGGAGGCGGGUGCUUUAUAGAGACCAGAAGAAAUCUGAGGGUUUGGCAGAGCUCAGGAGAUUGGUCCUGCAAUAAUGUAAAUUAUUAGUAGUGUUAUAUAAAAAAAAUUAUAGUCUUAUAUAUAGUCGUGUUUUUACAAUUAAACAUGAAAACCUAUUCUAGAACACCUCCAAAAAAACAAUAUAAAGACUUCACAAAAGGACAUAAUAUGACCCCUCUCAACUGCUAACGGUCAUUAACCAGUUUCCUUUGUCAUUUUAAGCUUUCCACUUAUUUUUCUCUCUUAUGUUUUGAAGGUAUUCGAGUCUUCUGAUGCACCAUGUGCUAUGUGUACCUCUGUAAAGGCAUCACCACCCUCUCGCCCUUCUCCACUCCCCUCAUCAUCAUCAUCAUCAGCUGCCCCUGUGAUGGGCACAUCAUCUUCAUCCUCCCCAUCAUCACCUGCCCCUUUGCCCUGUGAUGCAUCCACUUCUGUGAUCUCUCCAUCACAGGUGUCCCAGAGACUCUCAAUAAGGGAGGUGUGUAAAUAAAAUUAGUAAAGGAUCUCUGGUAACACUUUCUAUGAAGCCUGUAUUUAUAAUACAUUAUAAGGGUAUUCUUAAGGCAUUAUAAUGAAUGCAUAA
Molecule: long non-coding RNA, 2036 nt
Organism: Cyprinus carpio carpio
Lineage: Eukaryota; Metazoa; Chordata; Actinopteri; Cypriniformes; Cyprinidae
Source: Ensembl